RNAcentral lists this transfer-messenger RNA (401 nucleotides) under bovine gut metagenome. It matches the Rfam family "transfer-messenger RNA". Rfam says of the family: Bacterial tmRNA, also known as 10Sa RNA or SsrA, is named for its dual tRNA and mRNA-like properties. The record is from RNAcentral.
GGGGAUGUAUGGUUUUGACAGCAAGAUGAAUUGUCAUGUAAGCAUGUCGAGCCUCGCAGUGACGCUCGUAAAUCUUGACUGCAAAAAAUUAAUUGGCGAAAACAACUACGCUCUCGCUGCCUGAUUGAAGCACAGUAGAUCACUGGCUUAAUCCGCUCACAAGGUGGGCGGACGAGACAUCCCGCAGGUGGAGAUUCCUGAUUCCGGCCUGAGCCCGGGGUGCUAAGCAAUUUCGGGAUAGCCUUGUCGACGCUCCGACAGCAAGGCGAAGCUUUAGGAGAUAAGGUCGCGUUUAGGGCGUUCGUUCCCUUGCGCGGCACGAAAACCAACAGCGGAAUAAGCAUGUAGAAACCAUGGGGGUUCCUUGUUUGGACGAGGGUUCGACUCCCUCCAUCUCCACU